Molecule: long non-coding RNA, 312 nt
Organism: Ornithodoros turicata
Lineage: Eukaryota; Metazoa; Arthropoda; Arachnida; Ixodida; Argasidae
Exons: 2
Source: RefSeq, a predicted model, not a curated record
UCGAAUAUAUCCUCGCAGUCUCCAAUCUGGGUGGGAGCCCACUACACAUACGCUGUGUACUCCCACCCGUGCUGAGAGAGUUGCACCAAAUGGAGAUGAUGGCGUUUGGCUGGCUCGAGAUAGCACAUGGUAAUGGAAGCGCAUGAUCGAACUUCUCCGGGUCAGGGAAAUACUGGGCGUCGUGGUGCAUGGCAUAGACUGGAAUAGCGACGACGCAUCCCUCAGGAACGACGAUGCUUGUGCCAUCAAUCCUGUACUGUUCUGUUGUAGAACGCUCAAUCCUAGAAUGAAUACAAGUACGUGACAUUUCGU